Molecule: long non-coding RNA, 991 nt
Filed under: Homo sapiens (human)
Lineage: Eukaryota; Metazoa; Chordata; Mammalia; Primates; Hominidae
Description: non-protein coding lnc-RNF39-13:3
Source: RNAcentral
AUGAGGAGGGGUCGUGACCUUCGCCCCAGGCCGGGGUCAUUCACCGGCCUAGCUCUGGUGGUAGUAGCGGCGCGGCAUGGGCAGGUUCACUCUUGUCAGUCUGUGCGCGGGCCUGAUGUUCCGUGUGCUCCGGUCCCAAUACUCCGGUCCCUCCUGCUCCAACCACGGCGACUGCGGCUACAUCCUCGGAGUCGCCGCGUCGCUGUCGAACCGCACGAACUGCGUGUCGUCCACGUAGCCCACUGCGAUGUACCGGGGCUCCCCGCGACCCGGCCGGGACACGGCGGUGCUGAAAUACCUUAUGGAGUGGGUACCUGGGGGCGAGGAGGGGCUGAGACCCGUCCGACCCUCCUCCUUGCGCUGCUCCCCGGGUCCUGCGCCCCAGUGCGCGGGCCCCUACCUCCUCCCCGCAGAGGCCAUUUCCCUCCGGAUCCCGCACUCACCCGCCCAGGUCUCGGUCAGGGCCAGGGCCCCCAAGAGCAGCAGGAGGAGGGUUCGGGACGCCAUGACCCCAUCCUCGGCGUCUGGGGAGAAUCUGAGUCCCAAUGGGUUCGCGGGGACUUCUGGAACAGGGACCCCAGCGACGCCGAUUGGCUUCGCUAGAAACCCGACACCAAAUGGGGGUGAGAACUGAGUCCACAUCCUGAGUGUCCAGGAAGAAGGACCCUACAUAAGUUGGGAGAGGGAGAAGAGAAACUGCGGAGAUGGGGAAUCCCCAACCCUGGGCCUCCCCAAUCAAUACAUCGCCUUCGGGGCCUGAAACCCUGAGAGCCACGCCUGGGGCCAUAGGACUUCGCCCUGACCCCGCUCCUCCUGUGCCAAGCGCUCUGUCUCAAUGUCUCCCUGAGUCUUGGCCCAAGAGCUGUCUGAGAAACCAGGGAGAAACCCUCGUCAUGGGCCCCGUCCCUCUUCAUUUUUCAUCCCGGAAUCCCCGUCCCAGAACUGGACUCCCUGCCUCCCACUCCUUACCUAUUUCCCUGAACUCUUCUAG